RNAcentral lists this ribosomal RNA (484 nucleotides) under uncultured bacterium. RNAcentral describes it as "partial 16S ribosomal RNA". It matches the Rfam family "Bacterial small subunit ribosomal RNA", at positions 30 to 507 of the family's 1533-position model. The record is from RNAcentral.
AUUGAACGCUGGCGGCAGGCCUAACACAUGCAAGUCGAGCGGAUGAAGGGAGCUUGCUCCUGGAUUCAGCGGCGGACGGGUGAGUAAUGCCUAGGAAUCUGCCUGGUAGUGGGGGAUAACGUCCGGAAACGGGCGCUAAUACCGCAUACGUCCUGAGGGAGAAAGUGGGGGAUCUUCGGACCUCACGCUAUCAGAUGAGCCUAGGUCGGAUUAGCUAGUUGGUGGGGUAAAGGCCUACCAAGGCGACGAUCCGUAACUGGUCUGAGAGGAUGAUCAGUCACACUGGAACUGAGACACGGUCCAGACUCCUACGGGAGGCAGGCGUGGGGAAUAUUGGACAAUGGGCGAAAGCCUGAUCCAGCCAUGCCGCGUGUGUGAAGAAGGUCUUCGGAUUGUAAAGCACUUUAAGUUGGGAGGAAGGGCAGUAAGUUAAUACCUUGCUGUUUUGACGUUACCAACAGAAUAAGCACCGGCUAACUUCGUG